Molecule: ribosomal RNA, 673 nt
Filed under: Euryspongia lobata
Lineage: Eukaryota; Metazoa; Porifera; Demospongiae; Dictyoceratida; Dysideidae
Description: partial large subunit ribosomal RNA
Rfam family: Eukaryotic large subunit ribosomal RNA
Source: RNAcentral
UGAAACACGGACCAAGGAGUGCAACAUGUGCGCGAGCCCUUUGGCGAGCAAACCAGAAGGCGCAAUGAAAGUGAAGGCACGGUCGCCGUGCUGAGGUGAGAGCCGGCCCCGACGGGACGGCGCAUCAUCGACCGAUCCCAUCCGCACUGCUCGCAGUGUGGCGGGAUUCGAGUGAGAGUGUACCUGUUGCGACCCGAAAGAUGGUGAACUAUGCCUGAAUAGGGUGAAGCCAGAGGAAACUCUGGUGGAGGCCCGUAGCGAUUCUGACGUGCAAAUCGAUCGUCAAAUUUGGGUAUAGGGGCGAAAGACUAAUCGAACCAUCUAGUAGCUGGUUCCCUCCGAAGUUUCCCUCAGGAUAGCUGUAGCCCGAAGCAGUUUUAUCAGGUAAAGCGAAUGAUUAGAGGUAUCGGGGAAGAAACUUCCUCGACCUAUUCUCAAACUUUAAAUAGGUAAGAAGUCCGACUUGCUCAAUCUGAAGCCGGACACAGAAUGCUGGGUUACUAGUGGGCCAUUUUUGGUAAGCAGAACUGGCGAUGCGGGAUGAACCGAACGCAGAGUUAAGGUGCCAAAGUCGACGCUCAUCAGAUCCCACAAAAGGUGUUGGUUGAUAUAGACAGCAGGACGGUGGCCAUGGAAGUCGGAAUCCGCUAAGGAGUGUGUAACAACUCACCUG